UGAAUACAAAGUAACUUAUUAAAGACCUGAGUAAAUUUGAAGGUAAAUUACGAUGUUCUAGAUUUGCUAAGCAUGUUGCAUCAAAUUAAUCUUACUUUAAAUAUCUUCUGGAAUACAGAUGAUAAAAGUUGAUGGAUAUGUAUGAUAGCUGAUUUCAAUAUUAAAGUAUUGAGGGCUGGGGAUUUGGCUCAGUGGUUCUGCUGCCUGCCUCACAAGUGGAAGGUCCCGAGUUCGAUCUUCGGUACCAAAAAAAACCACUAAAAUAUUGAAUAAAAUAUUCUUUUUAUUUGAAGUAAAUGGUUGUUUUCUUUUUUUAUGAAUAAAUUAAGUCAUAUGUAUAGAUUUGAUCUAUAAUUUGGUAUAGCAAUUUCCUUAUCCACUGUUUGGCUUUCUGAGGUUUCAUUUAUCUGGAAUCAACUGUGGUCUGAAAAUAUUCAAUGGAAAAUUCCAGAUAUAAGUAAUUCAUAAGUUUUAAAUGGCACUCCAUUCUGAGCAGCUUGAUGACAUCUCUCACCUUGCAUUUUGUCUCAUUUGGAAUAACCGGGGAUCGAACUCAGGACCUUGUGCUUGUGAGCUAAAUCCCCAGCCUGUACACAGUUGUUUUUUAUUCUUACUAUUAUCGAGUUUUGGCUUUUUAUUUUGUUUUGUUUACAAUUCUAGGGAUUGAACCCAGGGCCUUGAACAUGCUAGGCAAGUGCUUUACCACCGAACUCUGUCCCCAGCUCCAUUUUCAAGUAUUAUGUGCUGUACAUAGCUGUGUGUUCUGUUAUUAUAUGACUGGCGCAGGAUAGUAUGUUUGCACUAGUAUCAGCUCAGAUGUGAGCACUGUAUAAUGCUUUGAUGUUAUGAUGGACACAGUGUCACUAGGCAAUAGGAAUUUUUCAGAUCUGUUAUAAUCUUAUGGGGCUACUGUUGUGUAUACAGUCUUUCAAUGAUAAAGACAUCUGGUGCAUAAUUGCAUUGUUAAAUUGUUCUAAUUUAAUAUCAUUGCUAACUUUAUCAGAGGUGUAUAUGCAUAGGAAAAAAUGUACAUAUAGAGUUUGGUACUAUCUGCAGUUUCAGGCAUCCACUGGGAGUCAUGUAACAUAGUCCCUGUGGAUAAGGGGGGACUAUUGUGUAGUUAUAAUCUCUGGUGAAACUGCAUGUAAAGUAUGAGACAACUUUACACAAAAUAUACUUGAUUGUAUCAGUAAUAACACAUAAUAGGCGAUGUUUUAUUCUAUGUACUUUGCACCUAAUGGACACUUAGUAAAUACUGAAUUUCAAUCUAUUGAAUAUAUUUUGAAAGCUGACAAUUAGAGUUGCAAAAUUUUAACCCUAGUAGGUUUGGUCAAAUUUGGCUCCAGAUAUGUUGCUUGCCUUGUAGCAUUAAAAAGUAAUUGCCUUUAUGACUGUGUUUUCAUUACUCUGUUAUUUACAACUAGCCUGCUGCCACAUUUAGGUUACUUUCUGGUCACCUGUAGGUGACUCAAAUGAAACCAGUUUGAUAUAUCAGUAUACUGUACUGUAAUAUGGGAGGAACUCUAAAAUUCCGGUCUGUUUUGGCCUUUAUCUGGUGAUAAUUAAAACAUAAUCUAAGAUUAAAUCCAGAGGGUGGUAUUAUAACAUUCAGAAAGUUCUGAAUUCGUAUAGAAUACUAUAAUGAAAAAAAUUAAUCCAUGUACAUAGACACUAUUUUUUAUUAACGAUUUUUUAUGGCCUUGUAAAGUUUAAUUUACUUUAAAUACAGUGAUGGAAUAUUGCUUGUUAUUUAGAUUUUUACAAAAUGGUAAGUUUUAUAAAUUGUUGACUUUUUUUAAAAGAUAGCUUUGUAUUUUUAGCACAAAAAUCUUUUAGAGUAAAACUACACUUUUAAUGUAGUUGUUGGAGGGGUUGUGAUAAAUUCGAGGGUCUCCUUGAGCUGUGGUCCCUGCUGUUUCUGAUAUAUUGUGCUGGCAGUGUUCAAGCGGUGGCUGGAGUGCAGAGACUGGGGAGUUGAGAGUAAGAGAUUGAAGUUCAGCUAUUGUAUGUGGUGAAUUCAUGAAUAAGCUUGGCCGUUACUGUUCCUGGAUCUCAGUUUAGGUAAAUCAAAGACAGAUAACUUGCAAGGACAAUUUUAUAAGUCCUACAAAGUGUCUUGAAUUUCUAUUUUUAAAAGCAGUUCAAUUUCUAUUUUCCAUUUAUGUACAAAAUUCUAUUUCAGCAUGCUUGUUUAUUCUAGACCAAGAAAUGCAAAUAAUACUGUUGAUUUGACAUUCUGUACAACAGAGUAAAAUAUUUGUUAAACAAGUGCCUCACAGAGUACCAUGACAAGUUUCCCAAAGCCUUGCUGUGUGUUUCAGUUUCCAGGCAUUGGUAGUCUUAAUUUAGGCAACUGAUUUUUAAAUUUCUCUGCUUAAAUAUGUACUUUCUGCUCAAAUUGAGUCCCCUAAAGUCAAGGUAGGGCUGUAUAGGUCCCAGGUUUUAGCUCCUCUUUUACAAUUGCUCUUUUCCUCUCUGCAGAAGAAAAGUUUAUUUUUCACCUGUUCUAAUCUUGUUCUGGUACAUUUCCCAUAGUACAGGAAAAUUUCUAAAACACUAUUAAAUAAAGGAACAGUUUGAUACAGUCUCUGAAAGCCUAUUCAGUGAUUCGAGCUUCCAUCUUAUUUUUAUAUUUUGCAUGAUUUUAAAUAAGAGAAAGCUUCAGUGUUAACUAUCAACAGUCAACAUCGCAUCUUUAAAUAAAACUUUUUCCUGAUUAUUAGAAGAAACAUUUUCAUUAACUUUGCCAAAAAGCUAGUAGAAUGUUUAAGUCCUUUAUUUUAACUUUGAAAAUUUACUGCUUAUUAAUAUGAAUUUUUAAUUCUUUGCUUUUUAUUUAUCCCUACCAUGUGGAGUAAGUUAUAGAUUCUAAAAUCUGUAUUGUUAAUAUCAUGUAAAUAAUGCACACAAAUAAUGUUUAUUAUUAGGUCUCAUACUUAAUAACCUUUUCGCUGUUGAUUUCCUUUGAACUGUUUGUCAUUCCAGCAGUUAACAGUUUUUAUCCCAUGAUAUAUCAUGUAAUUUUCAAAAAGACAUUUCAUUGACACAUUACCAAUAAACUUUUACAUUUCUUUCAAUUCAGUGGAUAUUUACUGAGCACCUGCUAUGUGUUGGCCAUUCUCCCAAAUGGUUAAGAUACAUUGGUAAACAAAACACAUAAAUUCCUUCCUUCCUGGUGCUCUCAUUCUCAUGAGGGAGACAGAAAAUAAAUAUAAUAAAUGAGAAAAUUGAGAUGAUUUGCUUUCAUGCAAAAAAAUUUACUUUUUACAUUUAAUGUUUCAAAAAUACAAAAUUUAAGAAAUUGAGUCAGAAUUAUUUUCUCUUGAGAAUUCUGUUCUCUGAAAAUUUUAAAAU
Molecule: long non-coding RNA, 3354 nt
Filed under: Heterocephalus glaber (naked mole-rat)
Lineage: Eukaryota; Metazoa; Chordata; Mammalia; Rodentia; Bathyergidae
Description: lncRNA (ENSHGLG00100044205.1)
Source: RNAcentral